This 200-nucleotide ribosomal RNA is filed under the name uncultured bacterium. RNAcentral describes it as "partial 16S ribosomal RNA". It matches the Rfam family "Bacterial small subunit ribosomal RNA", at positions 30 to 231 of the family's 1533-position model. The record is from RNAcentral.
AUUGAACGCUGGCGGCAUGCCUUACACAUGCAAGUCGAACGGUAACAGGUCUUCGGAUGCCGACGAGUGGCGAACGGGUGAGUAAUACAUCGGAACGUGCCCGAUCGUGGGGGAUAACGGAGCGAAAGCUUUGCUAAUACCGCAUACGAUCUACGGAUGAAAGCAGGGGACCGCAAGGCGUCGCGCGACUGGAUGAGCCC